Molecule: ribosomal RNA, 385 nt
Filed under: uncultured bacterium
Lineage: Bacteria
Description: bacterial SSU rRNA
Rfam family: Bacterial small subunit ribosomal RNA
Source: RNAcentral
AUUGAACGCUGGCGGCAUGCCUUACACAUGCAAGUCGAACGGUAGAGUAGCAAUACUUGAGAGUGGCGAACGGGUGAGUAAUAUAUCGGAACGUGCCCAGUCGUGGGGGAUAACGUAGAGAAAUUUACGCUAAUACCGCAUACGAUCUAAGGAUGAAAGCGGGGGAUUCGCAAGAACCUCGCGCGAUUGGAGCGGCUGAUAUCAGAUUAGGUUGUUGGUGAGGUAAAAGCUCACCAAGCCGACGAUCUGUAGCUGGUUUGAGAGAACGACCAGCCACACUGGGACUGAGACACGGCCCAGACUCCUACGGGAGGCAGCAGUGGGGGAAUUUUUGGACAAUGGGCGAAAGCCUGAUCCAGCAAUGCCGCGUGUAGGAAGAAGGCCU